Molecule: ribosomal RNA, 498 nt
Filed under: uncultured bacterium
Lineage: Bacteria
Description: partial 16S ribosomal RNA
Rfam family: Bacterial small subunit ribosomal RNA
Source: RNAcentral
AUUGAACGCUGGCGGCAUGCCUUACACAUGCAAGUCGAACGGUAACAGGUCUUCGGAUGCUGACGGGUGGCGAACGGGUGAGUAAUACAUCGGAACGUGCCUAGUAGUGGGGGAUAACUACUCGAAAGAGUGGCUAAUACCGCAUGAGAUCUACGGAUGAAAGCAGGGGAUCGCAAGACCUUGUGCUACUAGCGCGGCCGAUGGCAGAUUAGGUAGUUGGUGGGAUAAAAGCUUACCAAGCCGACGAUCUGUAGCUGGUCUGAGAGGACGAUCAGCCACACUGGGACUGAGACACGGCCCAGACUCCUACGGGAGGCAGCAGUGGGGAAUUUUGGACAAUGGGCGAAAGCCUGAUCCAGCAAUGCCGCGUGCAGGAUGAAGGCCUUCGGGUUGUAAACUGCUUUUGUACGGAACGAAAAGCCCCGGGUUAAUACCCUGGGGUCAUGACGGUACCGUAAGAAUAAGCACCGGCUAACUACGUGCCAGCCGCCGCAGUAA